RNAcentral lists this unclassified non-coding RNA (139 nucleotides) under uncultured Vishniacozyma. RNAcentral describes it as "sequence contains ITS2". Lineage: Eukaryota; Fungi; Basidiomycota; Tremellomycetes; Tremellales; Bulleribasidiaceae. The record is from RNAcentral.
AACCUCACCCCACUUGGGUUUUUGCCUGAGCGGUGGUGGAUUGGGCGUCUGCCGUUACUGGCUCGCCUGAAAAGCAUAAGCACCUUGGAUGUAAUACGUUUCAUCCUUAUGGGUGGCUAACAACCCCACAUAUCUCAUG